This 1010-nucleotide long non-coding RNA is filed under the name Linum usitatissimum (flax). RNAcentral's name for it is "long non-coding RNA (LUSI_LNC004240)". The record is from RNAcentral. Lineage: Eukaryota; Viridiplantae; Streptophyta; Magnoliopsida; Malpighiales; Linaceae.
AGUUGGGCUGAUCCUACAUAGCACAUCGCAGUUUAGGUUGCACGGCACUAUGUAGGACCUGUCCAAUGGUUCUAUAAUUACCGGCCACCAUCGACCUCCAUUUUACUUCACACCAAAACCUCUCCCUCCUCUCACUCGAUAGUUCUCUCAAUAGUUUGUGAGUGUUUUCCCGAUAUUUCUUCUCUAAGGGAGCUGUCUCUAUUGUAUGCCUGCUGGCGGGGGAGCCGAUCCACCUCAGUAGCCUCUUAGACUUCACCUUCUGAUCCUUUGCUUCAACAUUUCCUCAGAGGUUGUUCAUGGUGGUCCUUACAUCACUUUGGCCUCCUUCAGCACUACUCCUAGGUCCGCUUCUUCCCGCAUGUCCGCAUCGGCAAAGCUACCUUGCUGAACAUGCAGAUGUCGUGGAGAGUUCACCACGGCGGCCAGAUGCUCAUGCUAGAGACUGCUCCCGCCGGGGCGGACCAACCUAAGGAGGGAGAUGCUCCAGCAGCGCCUUCGGUUAUUUGUCAGAGGAGGGGUCCGAACUCGAGGAUGCUGACGGAGAUUGACCAGCUGUCGGCCCAGCUAUACCAUCGCCUGGACUUUGUCGACUCCAGGUUGGGCUGGAUGCAGGGGGGCUUCCUAUCUAUAUUCUGUUUCAACCGGUCUCCGAUGAUGAGGAGGACGAGGAGGAUAAGGAGGAGUGAGCUUAGGUCCUUGAUGGUUUAGUGGUUUCUUUGUGUUUCCUGCACUUGCUUUACUGUUGUUUGUUUUUUCUGGAACUGAGACUUGUAUGGAUACUGUUUAACCUUAGUUAUUUCCGCAUUUUAACAGCGGCCGAUGUAGCGCAGUUAAAUUGGCUAAUGCGAAAGACUUUAACACGCGGAAACAACCUUGCGCCUUUAAACCAGGCCUCGUUUAACAGCGGAUUUAAUCAUGGCCGCUGUUAAAUUUAAUAGGAGUUUUAACUAUCUGAUAUAGCAGUGGAUAGUUCAAAUCCGUUGUUAAAUUUGACAGCGGCCAGUUUAUAG